RNAcentral lists this long non-coding RNA (739 nucleotides) under Phoenix dactylifera (date palm). Its description in RNAcentral is "long non-coding RNA (PDAC_LNC012637)". Lineage: Eukaryota; Viridiplantae; Streptophyta; Magnoliopsida; Arecales; Arecaceae. The record is from RNAcentral.
AUUUUCUGCCACGAGCAAAUAGAAAAGAUGAGAUAUUGUGGGAGCAAACUGAGGAUCUUACCAGUAUGGUUUCAAAUCCUGGUGGGACAUUCGGUGGGAUGUGGAUACCAUCGAGCAUAGGGAUGCCAUCAUCCCACCAUAUUGUCUCAAACUUUCAAGACAGGAUGGAACCACGGCAUGUUCCGUUCCAUAGAAUGCAAUCAGAAAAGCUGGCUCAUGAGAUUUAAAACCUUGCAUAUCAAUGAGAUUAGUAAAUGUUACUAGAACUUUCAUAGUGAGGCAGCAUUAGAGAGAGUCACUUCCAAGCAAUAAUAAUAUUGACAAUGGAAGUUAGAAUGGCUUUGGUGAAGCUGUUUCUGGAGAUUUACAUCCUGUUUGAGAUUGCUGUUGAUAGUAAAACUUUUGGAAGUACGAGUUGGGAACUUGGUCCAAACUCGACUUGAUUAUUAUCCUGGUCUUGCUUCCAUGUCCUUACUAUAGUAUCCAAGACCCGCUUAUCCAUGGUCCGCUGUUAUUCCCAGCUACCACCUGAUUUGUUCUCACUCCAUCUUUAGUAUUUACACGGUGCCUUCCAUGGUCACCAUUAUUAUGGCCAUGAAACAGCUUACCUCCUCUCUAAUUAGAUAGCACAUGAGAUUUAACAACACUAUGGACCUCAUGGCCCUGCAGCUGCUUCAAAUAUGGUAAUAGCAUCAACAGUAGCAUUCCAUUGCAUAAUAUAACAACGCAUCCCUAACAU